GUACUUGCUCAAGCAGCACAUACGAUAAAACUGGAACAAUACAGAGAAGAUUAGUAUGGCCUCUGUGGAAGAAUGGCAUGCACGUUCAUAAAGUGUUCCAUAUUUUA
Molecule: small nuclear RNA, 107 nt
Organism: Sciurus vulgaris (Eurasian red squirrel)
Lineage: Eukaryota; Metazoa; Chordata; Mammalia; Rodentia; Sciuridae
Source: Ensembl